This 230-nucleotide ribosomal RNA is filed under the name uncultured bacterium. Its description in RNAcentral is "partial 16S ribosomal RNA". It matches the Rfam family "Bacterial small subunit ribosomal RNA", at positions 568 to 796 of the family's 1533-position model. The record is from RNAcentral.
CUCGUAGGCGGUUCAGUAAGUCGGGUGUGAAAGCUCCGAGCUCAACUCGGAGAGGCCACCCGAUACUGCUGUGACUUGAGUCCAGUAGAGGAGCGUGGAACUCCUGGUGUAGCGGUGAAAUGCGCAGAUAUCAGGAAGAACACCUGCAGCGAAGGCGGCGCUCUGGGCUGGAACUGACGCUGAGGAGCGAAAGCGUGGGUAGCAAACAGGAUUAGAUACCCUGGUAGUCC